UGUAGCCUACGGGGGGCAGCAGUGGGGUAUAUUGCACAAUGGGCGCAAGCCUGAUGCAGCGACGCCGCGUGCGGGAUGGAGGCCUUCGGGUUGUAAACCGCUUUUGUUCAAGGGCAAGGCACGGUCUUUGGCCGUGUUGAGUGGAUUGUUCGAAUAAGCACCGGCUAACUACGUGCCAGCAGCCUCGGUAAUACGUAGGGGGCACGCGUUAUCCGGAUUUAUUGGGCGUAAAGGGCUCGUAGGCGGUUCGUCGCGUCCGGUGUGAAAGUCCAUCGGUUAACGGCGGAUCCGCGCCUG
RNAcentral lists this ribosomal RNA (297 nucleotides) under uncultured bacterium. RNAcentral describes it as "partial 16S ribosomal RNA". It matches the Rfam family "Bacterial small subunit ribosomal RNA", at positions 333 to 629 of the family's 1533-position model. The record is from RNAcentral.